Long non-coding RNA from Sinocyclocheilus grahami, 296 nucleotides. RefSeq lists it as uncharacterized. NCBI's taxonomy places the organism in Eukaryota, Metazoa, Chordata, Actinopteri, Cypriniformes, Cyprinidae. The transcript has 3 exons. The record is from RefSeq and is a predicted model, not a curated record.
UUUUCAGCUGGUAUGGCUUGGCAUCAAUGUGUUUCUCUUUGUGUAUUUUUACUUGGCAUUUCUGAUUGAAAGAUACUAUUAUACUAGAGUCAUCCUUGGGCAUGCUCUCUCAUGGGCCAGAGCUCCAGCUGCAUGUCUGAAUUUUAACUGCCUGUUGAUCCUGCUGCCCGUCUGCAGAAACCUGCUCUCGUUCCUGCGCGGAUCCAUUCAGUACUGUAGCCGCACUGCAGCCCGUCAGCUGGACAGAAACCUUACUUUCCACAAACUAGUGGCCUACAUGAUUGCCUUCCACACAG